UAUGACCCCGUGUGAGUUGGGACCCCACAGGCCAAGGGAAAGAAUUACUCCAUCUCUGUGUCUUUUAGAGCAUUUUGGAAGUGAUAAACCACAAAUGCUAACAAAGUGAGGUGAGACUUUUCUUCCUCUGGCAAUCAGGAGUUAGUAGUCUGUGUAAGACAAAAUGUGGCCUGAUCUCAGAUUUGGAUUGUGCUGUGCAUAAUUAUUUACAUUAGGCUUUGAAUGGUAGCUUAUCUAGAACACUAUUACUUUGUAAGUCUGUGUUAUCUUUGUAAGUGACAAAUACAUUGUACACACAGAACGUUUCUCACUUACGUAGUAUUA
This 324-nucleotide long non-coding RNA is filed under the name Bos taurus (domestic cattle). RNAcentral's name for it is "long non-coding RNA NONBTAT015984". The record is from RNAcentral. Lineage: Eukaryota; Metazoa; Chordata; Mammalia; Artiodactyla; Bovidae.